AUUGAACGCUGGCGGUAUGCUUAAGACAUGCAAGUCGAACGGUAACAGACCUUCGGGUGCUGACGAGUGGCGGACGGGUGAGUAACACGUGGGAAUCUACCUUGUAGUGGGGGAUAAGCCAGGGAAACUUGGACUAAUACCGCAUACGCCCUAAGGGGGAAAGGAGCAAUUCGCUAUAAGAUGAGCCCGCGUCUGAUUAGCUAGUUGGUGAGGUAAAGGCUCACCAAGGCGACGAUCAGUAGCUGGUCUGAGAGGAUGACCAGCCACAUUGGGACUGAGACACGGCCCAGACUCCUACGGGAGGCAGCAGUCGGGAAUAUUGGACAAUGGGGGCAACCCUGAUCCAGCAAUACCGCGUGUGUGAAGAAGGCCUGCGGGUUGUAAAGCACUUUUAGUAGGGAAGAUAAUGACGUUACCUACAGAAAAAGCACCGGCUAACUCCGUGCCAGCAGCCGCGGUAAGGUGCGCGAGU
RNAcentral lists this ribosomal RNA (472 nucleotides) under uncultured bacterium. RNAcentral's name for it is "bacterial SSU rRNA". It matches the Rfam family "Bacterial small subunit ribosomal RNA", at positions 30 to 533 of the family's 1533-position model. The record is from RNAcentral.